GCCAUGAUGACACCAUUUUGAUGAUCUGUUUGAACUGAUUGUCCUCUAAGAAGUUCUGAGCCU
Carassius auratus (goldfish) is the source of this 63-nucleotide small nucleolar RNA. Ensembl annotates it as small nucleolar RNA SNORD61. NCBI's taxonomy places the organism in Eukaryota, Metazoa, Chordata, Actinopteri, Cypriniformes, Cyprinidae. The record is from Ensembl.